AGUGAACGCUGGCGGUAGGCCUAACACAUGCAAGUCGAACGGCAGCACAGUAAGAGCUUGCUCUUCCGGGUGGCGAGUGGCGGACGGGUGAGGAAUACAUCGGAAUCUACUUUUUCGUGGGGGAUAACGUAGGGAAACUUACGCUAAUACCGCAUACGACCUACGGGUGAAAGCAGGGGAUCUUCGGACCUUGCGCGAUUGAAUGAGCCGAUGUCGGAUUAGCUAGUUGGCGGGGUAAAGGCCCACCAAGGCGACGAUCCGUAGCUGGUCUGAGAGGAUGAUCAGCCACACUGGAACUGAGACACGGUCCAGACUCCUACGGGAGGCAGCAGUGGGGAAUAUUGGACAAUGGGCGCAAGCCUGAUCCAGCCAUACCGCGUGGGUGAAGAAGACCUUCGGGUUGUAAAGCCCUUUUGUUGGGAAAGAAAAGCAGCAGGUUAAUACCCCGCUGUUCUGACGGUACCCAAAGAAUAAGCACCGGCUAACUUCGUG
This 492-nucleotide ribosomal RNA is filed under the name uncultured bacterium. RNAcentral's name for it is "partial 16S ribosomal RNA". It matches the Rfam family "Bacterial small subunit ribosomal RNA", at positions 29 to 507 of the family's 1533-position model. The record is from RNAcentral.